RNAcentral lists this ribosomal RNA (957 nucleotides) under Triticum aestivum (bread wheat). RNAcentral describes it as "partial small subunit ribosomal RNA". The record is from RNAcentral. Lineage: Eukaryota; Viridiplantae; Streptophyta; Magnoliopsida; Poales; Poaceae.
AUGGACGCCGGAGCUCCCCUGCGCCACGCUGCUCCCCUGCUCUCCCGCGCGUCCUCCGCCGCCGUCGCAGCUGCUUCCUCUGCCGCUCCCUUUUGCCUCGCGCAGCUCCCCUGCCUCACCCCUCGGCCUAGCGGCCAGCGAUGCGGCCUUCCCACCCCCGCCCCGGCCCCCGUGGCGUGGGGCGCGGCGGGAGACGGUGGCCAAGGAAUCGUCCGCGCGCAGGCGGUGAGCCAGAUCGUGUCCAGCUGCGCCAACUCAAGCGGCCUGGCCGUGGACGUCGUCGACGCCAACGCCAUCAUCUCGGGAGGCGCCGCGCUCACCUCCACCGCGGGCCGGCUGGUCACGGUGCUCGAGGAGGUGUUCGACGCCGCAACGCGCCGGAGGCUCGCGCUCCCGCCCACCCCCAUCGAGACCACCGAGCCCGCCCCUGAGUUCGUCAAGGGGGGGGGUCGAAUUUUACUGCACUACCUGACGGCCUCUCACAGUCUGCAAUCAGCCAACCACCUCUACUGGCUGCUGCCACUCCUCACAUUAGCUAGGAACACGAGCUCUGGGCUCUGGCGGCAGCACAAGGAGCAGGGCAGAGGAGCAGGACCUCGUCAGCGUGCUUCUUGCCGCGCGCCAGUCCUCGGCGCCGGGGGCGGGGCGGGGUCGGGAUCCUCGAUGCCGCGGGCGGCACUGGUGCUGGAGGUGACGCUGUUCCCCCCGCUCGCCGACAUAGCCGCUGCUCCACCCACUCCCCCCGGCCGUCACGUACCCCUCGUCUUCGUCCUCCUCAGCGAUCUCGUGGCCGGCGGCGGUGAAGUCUGCGGCAGGUCAGCGGCACGGAGGGAGAGCGUGGCCAGGGCCAAAUCAGCGGUCAGGGCCUCGCUGGCGGGGGCCGGAUCAGGGGCCAGGGCCUCGCUCCAGUUCUUCCCAAUGAACACGGAGCAACAUGAGCUUGAGCAGCCUCCGUGA